This 1867-nucleotide long non-coding RNA is filed under the name Pelobates cultripes (western spadefoot toad). Lineage: Eukaryota; Metazoa; Chordata; Amphibia; Anura; Pelobatidae. The record is from RNAcentral.
AUACAAAAUUACAUAAAUAAUUAUUUAAAUAUACACGUAGACUUCAAAUAUAUAAAUAUGCAUAUAUAUUUAAAUUCUACGUGCGUAUUUAUGUAAUAUUUUUACGUAAUUAAGUAAUUGCAAUUUGAGGAACCUGCCUGCCAACCCAGGGCGAAAGUCCAGAGAAUUUAAUUUGCUAGAACUGUAUUUUACCCUGUAACUUUCUAUGACACCCUAAAACCUGUACAUGGGGGGUACCGUUUUACUCGGGAGACUUCGCUGAACACAAAUAUUAGUGAUUCAAAACAGUAAAACGUAUCACAGCGAUGAUAUUGUGAGUGAAAGUGACUUUCUUUGCAUUUUUCAAACACAAACAGCACUUUUACUGAUGAUAUAAUUGUUGUGAUACGUUUUCCUGUUUUGAAACUCUAAUAUUUGUGUUCAGCAAAGUCUCCUGAGUAUAACAGUACCCCCCAUGUACAGAUUGUAUAGUGUUUUUGAAAGUUGCAGGGUCAAAUAUAUGGGUCAAAUUUUUACAUUGAAAAUGGCCAGGUUGGUUACGUUGCCUUUGAGAGCGUAUGGUAGCCCAGGAAUGAGAAUUACCCCCAUGAUGGCAUACCAUUUGCAAAAGAAGACAACCCAAGGUAUUGCAAAUGGGGUAUGUCCAGUCUUUUUUAGUAGCCACUUAGUCACAAACACUGGCCAAAAUUAGCAUUCAAUUUAGUUUUUUACUUUUUUCACACACAUACAAAUAUGAACGCUAACUUUGGCCAGUGUUUGCCACUAGGUGGCUACUAAAAAAACUGGACAUACCCCAUAUUGAAUACCCUGGGUUGUCUACUUUAAAAAAAAUAUGUACAUGUGGAGUGUUAUUCAGAGAUGUAUGACAGAUAAUAGUGUUACAAUGUCACUAUUGAUACAUUUGAAAAAAUGUAUGUUUUGAAACCGCAAUAUCCUACAUAUACCUAUAGCCCUAUAACUUGCAAAAAAAAAGCAUGUAAAAGCUGGGUAUUUUAAAACUCAGGACAAAAAUUUGAAUCUAUUUAGCUGUUUUUUUUAUUCGCUUUUGUAGAUGAGUAAAAGUUUUUCAAGUAAGUCAAAACACAUGUAUUUUUUUUUAAUUUUUCAUUAUUUUUUUAAAAUGAAAUUACAUGAGAUUAUAUAAAUAAUGGUAUGUAAAGAAAGCCUUUUUUGUCCUGAAAAAACAAUAUAUCAUUUGUAUAGGAACAGUAAAUGAGAGAGCGGAAAAUUACAGCUAAACACAAACACCACAAAAGUGUAAAAAGAGGCCUGGUCACAAAUGUACAACAUCGCAAAAACAGUCCAGUCUUUAAGGGGUUAAAGGAACAAUACCCAUGAUUGUAAAUAGGGACAAUGACCUAAUCUUAUACCUGCAUAAAUAAAUUAUUCUCUGUAUAAAAAUAUUUUAUUAAAUGGCUUCUUUAUCUUGAGUUACUAGUUACCUCUCUUAUUUUGAUUUUAUCCUUUAUUCCACACUAAUAGCCAGAAAAGUGUUAUACAGAGAAAUUGUUCUAAAAGUGUUUUCUCAGGUUAUAUGUAACCGAUCCAUCAAUUAGAAGAGGACUUAUUACAUUAUAUAAGGGUAAUCUUCCCUCUAUAUUUUUCCCAUCUAAUGUAAUAUUUGCAUAUAGCUGUGGAGAGAGACCCCUUACAUUUAUACACAUUACUAAAUAUAAUAGUCAACAUAAAAAAAGAAGAAAAUCCAUGCACCAUAGUAAAAAGUAGAAAGCUUAGGUAGGGAAGCUAUAGCUAUUCAAUCCAAAAAACACGAUAGGUCUAUAUCUAGAUUUAACCCCCUAGGUUGCAAAGUUUUUAACGUAUUGAUCCAAUUCGUUUCACGUUGUGCUAGCUUUUUGAUUAUAUUUCC